AGCUUUUCGAAUCCGUGCUGAGAUUUCGUCAGACACCAACCCAUUAGGGGUGAUCAGAGUUCCAAGACAAAUGAAGUU
Non-coding RNA from Schistosoma curassoni, 78 nucleotides. NCBI's taxonomy places the organism in Eukaryota, Metazoa, Platyhelminthes, Trematoda, Strigeidida, Schistosomatidae. The record is from Rfam.